UAANACNAAGGGNAGCUAAGUCGUAAGAACAANCAAACCCCUUAAAGUUAGUCUAAGUUCGGAUUGAGGUCUNCAACUCGACCUCAUGAAGUUGAAAUCGCUAGUAAUCGCGUAUCAUAACGACGCGGUGAAUACGUUCUCGGACCUUGUACACACCGCCCGUCACAUCAUGAGAGCUGUUUGUACCCAAAGUCAUCUUAGCCAACCUGAAGAGGAGGCGGGUGCCUAAGGUAUGUAUGGUGAUUGGGAUGAAGUCGUAACAAGGUAACU
Molecule: ribosomal RNA, 270 nt
Filed under: unidentified soil organism R6-16
Description: partial 16S ribosomal RNA
Rfam family: Bacterial small subunit ribosomal RNA
Source: RNAcentral